This 477-nucleotide ribosomal RNA is filed under the name uncultured bacterium. RNAcentral describes it as "bacterial SSU rRNA". It matches the Rfam family "Bacterial small subunit ribosomal RNA", at positions 29 to 482 of the family's 1533-position model. The record is from RNAcentral.
AACUAACGCUAGCGGCGUGCCUAACACAUGCAAGUCGUACGAGAAAGUCGGCUUCGGUCGGCGAGUAAAGUGGCGCACGGGUGAGUAACGCGUGGAUAAUCUACCCUUGAGUUGGGAAUAACGUGCCGAAAGGUGCGCUAAUACCGAAUAAUACUGAGUGACUAAUGUUGCUUAGUCAAAGAAGGCCUCUGCUUGCAAGCUUUCGCUGAAGGAUGAGUCCGCGUACCAUUAGCUAGUUGGUAGGGUAAUGGCCUACCAAGGCAACGAUGGUUAGCUGGUCUGAGAGGAUGAUCAGCCACACUGGAACUGAGACACGGUCCAGACUCCUACGGGAGCAGCAGUGAGGAAUAUUGCGCAAUGGGGGCAACCCUGACGCAGCAACGCCGCGUGAGUGAGGAAGGUUUUCGGACCGUAAAGCUCUGUCGAGCGGGAAGAAAUGCAUGCUGGCUAAUAUCCAGCAUGCUUGACGGUACCGCU